CGGACCAGACUCCUACGGGAGGCAGCAGUGAGGAAUAUUGGUCAAUGGACGGAAGUCUGAACCAGCCAUGCCGCGUGCAGGAAGACGGCCCUACGGGUUGUAAACUGCUUUUAUGUGAGGAUAAACCUAGUCUUGCGAGAUUAGCUGAAGGUAUCACAUGAAUAAGGAUCGGCUAACUCCGUGCCAGCAGCCGCGGUAAUACGGAGGAUUCGAGCGUUAUCCGGAUUUAUUGGGUUUAAAGGGUGCGUAGGCGGGCUAAUAAGUCAGUGGUGAAAUCACUCAGCUUAACUGAGUAACUGCCAUUGAUACUGUUAGUCUAGAAUAUAAAUGGUGCAGGCGGAAUGAAUCAUGUAGAGGUGACAUUCAUAGAUAUGAUUCAGAACACCGAUCGCGAAGGCAGCUUGCAAAGAUAUUAUUGACGCUGAGGCACGAAAGCGUGGGUAGCGAACAGGAUUAGAUACCCUGGUAGUCCACGCUGUAAACGAUGAUAACUCGUUGUCGGCGAUACACAGUCGGUGACUAAGGGAAACCGAUAAGUUAUCCACCUGGGGAGUACGAUCGCAAGGUUGAAACUCAAAGGAAUUGACGGGGGCCCGCACAAGCGGUGGAUUAUGUGGUUUAAUUCGAAGCAACGCGAAGAACCUUACCAGGGCUUGACAUCCUACUAACGAAGUAGAGAUACAUUAGGUGCCCUUCGGGGAAAGUAGAGACAGGUGGUGCAUGGUUGUCGUCAGCUCGUGUCGUGAGAUGUUGGGUUAAGUCCCGCAACGAGCGCAACCCCUAUUGUUAGUUGCUACGCAAGAGCACUCUAGCGAGACUGCCGUUGACAAAACGGAGGAAGGUGGGGACGACGUCAAAUCAUCAUGCCCCUUAUGUCCUGGGC
Molecule: ribosomal RNA, 883 nt
Filed under: wastewater metagenome
Description: bacterial SSU rRNA
Rfam family: Bacterial small subunit ribosomal RNA
Source: RNAcentral